Molecule: ribosomal RNA, 253 nt
Filed under: uncultured bacterium
Lineage: Bacteria
Description: partial 16S ribosomal RNA
Rfam family: Bacterial small subunit ribosomal RNA
Source: RNAcentral
UACGUAGGUGGCAAGCGUUGUCCGGAAUUACUGGGUGUAAAGGGAGCGCAGGCGGGAAGCCAAGUCAGCUGUGAAAACUACGGGCUUAACUUGUAGACUGCAGUUGAAACUGGUUUUCUUGAGUGAAGUAGAGGUUGGCGGAAUUCCGAGUGUAGCGGUGAAAUGCGUAGAUAUAUGGAGGAACACCGGUGGCGAAAGCGGCUCUCUGGCCUGUAACUGACACUGAGGCUCGAAAGCGUGGGGAGCAAACAGG